This 235-nucleotide unclassified non-coding RNA is filed under the name fungal sp. RNAcentral describes it as "partial internal transcribed spacer region". The stretch from base 1 to 46 matches the Rfam family "Eukaryotic small subunit ribosomal RNA", at positions 1786 to 1831 of the family's 1831-position model. The record is from RNAcentral. Lineage: Eukaryota; Fungi.
AAGUCGUAACAAGGUAUCCGUAGGUGAACCUGCGGAAGGAUCAUUAACACGUAUCCACGUUUUCAACCAAUUGUGAACUUGUUUUCAAUCAACAAUUUAAACAAAUUUAACCUUUUUACUUUUGCGAGUUGGCUUUUUUUAUUCUGUUGUUUUGCUGUUUAUCAGCACUCCAACACGUUUUUUUAAUUGAACGUAAAAAGAACUAUAACUCUUAGCAAUGGAUAUCUUGGUUCUC